This 508-nucleotide long non-coding RNA is filed under the name Gossypium barbadense (sea-island cotton). RNAcentral describes it as "long non-coding RNA (GBAR_LNC017610)". Lineage: Eukaryota; Viridiplantae; Streptophyta; Magnoliopsida; Malvales; Malvaceae. The record is from RNAcentral.
UUCAGCACAACUCUUGCCGGAAUUAGGAGCAAAAAUACAACCUUUAUCGUCCCAAAGAUUCGAACCCAUGACCUUCCUCACACCAACACUCCACUUAUGCACCAGACCAAUAAACCCAUUCUGUUAAUUAUUUGCUAACUUUUACUUAAAAACAUGCUGACUAAAGAUAGAGCUUAUUUAUAAAAAUACCAAAAUUUGUCCAAGUUCUAGCUUGAAUUUGAGACUUCCCAAACACUCCCAAGACACAUAACCACUAAAGCUAAUCGAUGUUUGUGUCACAUUCAUAAUACCCAAAAUUAAAAUUUUGGGGCGUUACAAGUCUUGCCGCUAACUCUAGUUUGUAAGUCACUUGGCUUACUCGCUUUUAAACUCUAAAAGGGUCCUUGUGUCUUCAUCAAGCCAACGGUAAGCCAUAAUGUAAAACACUAAAUAUGUGUUUGAGAUGUACCUUACUUGUAGCAUUUAUUCCCUUAUUGAUAACUCAGUAGGCUUAAUAUCGUUAUUCUAC